GUUUGUAACACCCGAAGUCGGUGAGGUAACCGUAAGGAGCCAGCCGCCUAAGGUGGGAUAGAUGAUUGGGGUGAAGUCGUAACAAGGUAGCCGUAUCGGAAGGUGCGGCUGGAUCACCUCCUUU
This 124-nucleotide ribosomal RNA is filed under the name Streptococcus pneumoniae. RNAcentral describes it as "partial 16S ribosomal RNA". It matches the Rfam family "Bacterial small subunit ribosomal RNA", at positions 1410 to 1533 of the family's 1533-position model. Lineage: Bacteria; Bacillati; Bacillota; Bacilli; Lactobacillales; Streptococcaceae. RNAcentral also lists the same sequence under 2 other names. The record is from RNAcentral.